GGUGAACCUGCGGAGGGAUCAUUA
RNAcentral lists this non-coding RNA (24 nucleotides) under Fusarium oxysporum. The record is from RNAcentral. RNAcentral also lists the same sequence under 59 other names. Lineage: Eukaryota; Fungi; Ascomycota; Sordariomycetes; Hypocreales; Nectriaceae.